Molecule: long non-coding RNA, 460 nt
Organism: Cyprinus carpio carpio
Lineage: Eukaryota; Metazoa; Chordata; Actinopteri; Cypriniformes; Cyprinidae
Source: Ensembl
CACAGUUUGCAUAUUGCAAAAGUCUUGUCAAGCUCCACCUACCUCUGGAGAUGUUAUAAUCCAAAUCCAAAUGCUUUCCCUCACUGAAAAUGGCUCUGUUUACAAGUUGGGACGCUGCAGUUACAAUGUCAGAUCCACUUGUUUGAUUGUGUGAACGAGUGUGAUAGUUCCAAAUGCAACCUCACAGGUCUUACUCGGGCUCUUUCAUGGGGCUCUCUAAGCUCUAUUGAUCACCAGGUGUUUCUUCACUCAGUCUUUCAGAGUCGCCACCGAGUGGGCCUGUAAUGAACGAAGGAUUACCUGCCGCCCAACCUGUAAACUGACCUCAUUACACCCCCAUGACAUGCUCAACGGGGUCACCCCUCAAUGGCUAAGCCCCCCAUUCACAUGAAAAGAACUAGAGCACAGCUUAUCAGACCUCCCAAGUAGCUCAACACAACCCCGCUGUCUCUACCUGCAC